GAUGGGAUUGCUAACAUAAGUCAGUCACUCUCUGUGUCCGAUAGCUAGCGGAUCUAUCGUGGACGCGCGCUCACAAUAUCUCCCAGAAUUAUCAGUAUUUGUGCUAUUUUUACUGCAAAAUGACGUACAAAACGAAGAUGAGGAAAACUCUGAAAGCUAAAAGCAUGCUAGCUGCCCGUAGAAGGUGCGAGCUGGCUAGAAUCCAUGGAUUACGCACUUUGACGAGUGAAGAUCGUGGAGGCCUCUCAGCCGCGAGUGUGAGGAACUUGUUGCAGACCGCUAUCCCCCCCCCCCCACAAUCCCACCCUCUGCCACCGCACAUUCUCCACCUUCUACUCCAGGUCUUACACCUGCUACUCCAGACGUUCCACCUGCUACUCCAGGUCUUCCACCUGCUACUCCAGGUCUUCCACCUGCUACUCCAGACGUUCCACCUGCUACUCCAGACGUUCCACCUGCUACUCCAGACGUUCCACCUGCUACUCCAGACGUUCCACCUGCUACUCCAGACGUUCUCGCUCUUGAUGUUGCAGGGCCCAGCACCUCAAGUGCUGUUGCAGUCGUGUAAUGGUAGAAUUUGCCAUGGCAAUGACAGCUGUCAACUAUAACGCUGGGUAUGUGAUGGGAUCACUGAACAACCUCCUCGGUCUACCACAAAGUGACGUACGGGACUGGUACUUGAACAAAAAGGACAAGGAUAUGCAGAGACCAAUGAGACCCACAACCAAACCAAGAAAGGCCCCUGAGGGAGCUGACCCCGGCUAUGGCGCAGGUGCCUACUAGUGCCACUCCAGUGCCACCUUGAGGACCCAUAUUACUGACCAAUUAUAUUAGGCGAUCUGCAUGGAACUUGCACACCUUACUGAACCCAUGCCUAUCUACAAGGGUGCAAAUUUUGAAUGAUAUCGGUCAACAUCAACCUCAGCUAAAGGUGGCUGAACUUUAACCUCCGUUUGUGCAGGCUGCGAUGCUGAAACUUGGCCCAGUUGCAGCACCUUUCACAUGUAUCAGGAUAAUAAAUUUUCAAUGCCCUACAACAACUUUCAAUUUCCAUCUAGAUGACCCCUUAA
This is a long non-coding RNA of Procambarus clarkii (red swamp crayfish), 1070 nucleotides long. RefSeq lists it as uncharacterized. Lineage: Eukaryota; Metazoa; Arthropoda; Malacostraca; Decapoda; Cambaridae. The record is from RefSeq and is a predicted model, not a curated record.